GGUGAGCUUCUCAUGGAGGGUGAUAUUGCUGUUCAGCGACGGAGGAAUGCGUUGUCCUGCUUCUUCUGCAAGUGGAAGAAAUCUGUCAAUGGCCUUGUCGAAGUGCCUGUGACUGUGAGCCCUGAUUUCUCCCUCUAUGAAAGGAUGAAAAUCGAAAAGGCGAUGCUGACCUUCACAAAAGAGACCUGCAUCCGAUUUGUGCCUCGCUCAACAGAGGUCGACUACCUCAGCAUAGAGAAUGGCAGAGGGUGCUGGUCUUACAUCGGGAGAGCAGGAGGCAGGCAGUUGGUGUCCUUGAACAGGGAUGAAUGCAUCUACAAUGGCCUCAUCCAGCACGAGCUCAACCACGCCCAUGACCUCGCCUACUCUCUCCAUUCAGCACAUACAUAUUGAAAUAUAAAAAGUUCCUUGUUUUUGAUAGUUUCAUGGUUAUUUUUUUAAAAGUAAUGAUUUUGAACCUUUAAAUAUUAUGUUAUAUAAGUAUAUCAUUGCAUUAGAUUACAUUAAUAGUAAUAAUAAUAUUUGAAUAUCUAUAAAUUAACUUGAAAACGAGUGGCUGGUACAUAAGCCUUAGAUGGUACUUUCCCCUAACACUGUCAUUAAACUAAAAUGUUCCACUUCUAUUCAUCCCAUUUCUAUUGAUUUGGCAGACCAGGCUUACAAUUUUAGAAAACAAUAUGGUAACAUGGGCACUCCAUAUGACUACACAUCUGUGAUGCACUACACCCGAACUGUUUUCACCACCGAGUAUGGAAAGGCAACGCUCACCCCCAUCCCUGACCCGGACGUCCCCAUUGGCCAGAUUCAGGGUCUCUCUCCCACUGACAUCCUGAGGAUCAAAAAGCUGUAUGAAUGCUGAUUGGAGGAAAUCUUCUAAACAGGAAUGGUGGCUGUUGGCUAAACAUAAAAGAACAUAUCUCAUCCUGUCUGGAGACAACGGUGUUGCCCCCCUAUGAGUGAAAAAUGGCCUGAACUCUCCUUUAAGCAUCAUUAUACAUUUAUUUACACUUUAUUAAUCAAUGUCUUGUUCUUACCAAAUGGGUAAUUUAUUCUUGGUAAAUCCACAAUAAGCAACUAGCUUGUCUUGAUCUAAUGAUACUAGUAUAAAUAUGAAAAUAGAGUUUUUUUCAGGUGCUUUUCUUUUUCUACGUGUUGAAGUUCAGUGGGCAAAUGUGUGGCUAUGCCCUUUGCUAAUAUUUUGAUUUAAUUGCCAGUACAAUAUAGUACUGAAGCCAUGAUGUAGCGUUGGCAAGGCAAGACUUAUGAAAUGCAUUUGAGUAAACUGUUAGAAGCCCAGUCACAUAUGCUACAAAGAAUACUACAAUGUACUCAUUCAUUACCUGCUAUCUACAAUAUGCCCACAGAGGAUCUCAUGACACGUGUAAAGCAUGGCCAUUCAAACACACAGACACACACUUCAUUUCACCCCAACACAAUGGGACACAACAAUUUUAAUCAAUUUUGGAGUGACAAAAUGGAAAUAAAUAAUAUGUAAAAAGAAACAACUUUAUUUUUUUUUAAAAAAACAAUUAAAAUCAAAACAACAA
Molecule: long non-coding RNA, 1547 nt
Organism: Alosa alosa (allis shad)
Lineage: Eukaryota; Metazoa; Chordata; Actinopteri; Clupeiformes; Clupeidae
Exons: 5
Source: RefSeq, a predicted model, not a curated record